This 846-nucleotide long non-coding RNA is filed under the name Homo sapiens (human). RNAcentral describes it as "HSALNT0142738". Lineage: Eukaryota; Metazoa; Chordata; Mammalia; Primates; Hominidae. The record is from RNAcentral.
AGGCUUACGGUAUUAUUACUCCUGCCUGGAGUAAUAUGUAUUGUAAUUUGGGAUUCCUGUGGGACAACGUAUCUUUGAAACAACAAGAAUUAACUCCAUGAUAAAGAAUUUCAGAUUUCUUCCACCGGUUGUGAUUUUGUCCCAGGAGAAUGUGUGCACACGGUGGCCACCAGAGGGAGCCCUUCAGCGACAGAGGAUGAGAGCUGCAGGAUGGUCAGAGGAAACCCAAUCCACAUUGGAACAAGGCUUCUUAAGACAUGGAUGUAAUUUGGUGGUGCGGAAAAAUCAGAGUGUUCAAAACAAUGAUGAUGUAAAAGGCUGAACCAAAAAUAACAACUGAUCUUACAUACACCAUUCCUCUGCUGCAUUGGUAUAUCACAGCUGUGAUCUCCACAAGGAAAGAGAAUUAUGGGUAUGGACAAUUAUGAAAAUAUGCUCCGGAUAUAGAUAGACCUUCUUUUCAAAGGAUAGGGUUCAGGAGGAGGACUUGAAAAAAGAUCGUCUCAGGGUUGUGAAAGAAGAUACAAUCAGCAAGCCUCUGAGAAAUCACAGCUGAUGACUAAGUCCACAGUCUGCUCAUAAAAUGUAGAGUUAUAGCUCUUGCUCUCACCACUGUCUCUGAUGAGUCUGAAGAAUUGUGAAUCACUAAAAGUCUCUACUUCUUUAAAUGUCUAGAAAGACUGUUCAAAUCACCUGGAAAGCUUGCACUUUUUUUUUUUAAUCUAGAAGACAAUAAAAAGUUGCAACAUCCUCUCUCAGAUCAGACCCAUCUGUUCCUUUACUCAUUCAUUCAACUCUUAUAUAUUAAUUCACUGACUUUUAGGUACCGGGAAUAAUUUCUGAGAG